CUAAGAAUAUUCCGCAAUGGACGGAAGUCUGACGGAGCGACGCCGCGUGGAUGACGAAGGCCGAAAGGUUGUAAAGUUCUUUUGCUGGGGAAGAAUAACCGCAGGAGGGAAUGCCUGUGGGAUGACAAGAACCGGCGAAUAAGCCCCGGCCAACUACGUGCCAGCAGCCGCGGUAACACGUAGGGGGCGAGCGUUGUUCGGAAUUACUGGGCGUAAAGGGCAUGUAGGCGGCUUGGAAAGCCUGGCGUGAAAGUCUGCAGCUUAACUGAAGGGGUGCGCUGGGAACUGCUGAGCUUGAGUGACGGAGAGGGAGCUGGAAUUCCUGGUGUAGGGGUGAAAUCUGUAGAUAUCAGGAAGAACACCGAUGGCGAAGGCAAGCUCCUGGCCGAUGACUGACGCUGAGGUGCGAAAGUGUGGGGAUCAAACA
This 427-nucleotide ribosomal RNA is filed under the name uncultured bacterium. Its description in RNAcentral is "bacterial SSU rRNA". It matches the Rfam family "Bacterial small subunit ribosomal RNA", at positions 355 to 774 of the family's 1533-position model. The record is from RNAcentral.